This 460-nucleotide ribosomal RNA is filed under the name uncultured bacterium. RNAcentral's name for it is "partial 16S ribosomal RNA". It matches the Rfam family "Bacterial small subunit ribosomal RNA", at positions 338 to 795 of the family's 1533-position model. The record is from RNAcentral.
CCUACGGGAGGCAGCAGUGAGGAAUAUUGGUCAAUGGACGAGAGUCUGAACCAGCCAAGCAGCGUGAAGGAUGACGGCCCUAUGGGUUGUAAACUUCUUUUAUAUGGGAAUAAAAGGUUCCACGUGUGGGAUUUUGUAUGUACCAUAUGAAUAAGGAUCGGCUAACUCCGUGCCAGCAGCCGCGGUAAUACGGAGGAUACGAGCGUUAUCCGGAUUUAGUGGGUUUAAAGGGAGCGUAGGGGGAUUGUUAAGUCAGAUGUGAAAGUGCGCGGCUCAACCGUAAAAUUGCAGUUGAAACUGGCAGUCUUGAGUACAGUAGAGGUGGGCGGAAUUCGUGGUGUAGCGGUGAAAUGCUUAGAUAUCACGAAGAACUCCGAUUGCGAAGGCAGCUCACUGGACUGCAACUGACGCUGAGGCUCGAAAGUGUGGGUAUCAAACAGGAUUAGAUACCCUUGUAGUC